This 480-nucleotide ribosomal RNA is filed under the name uncultured Acidobacteriota bacterium. Its description in RNAcentral is "bacterial LSU rRNA". It matches the Rfam family "Bacterial large subunit ribosomal RNA", at positions 188 to 629 of the family's 2925-position model. Lineage: Bacteria; Pseudomonadati; Acidobacteriota. The record is from RNAcentral.
UGGAAGUGAACCAUCUCAGUACCCACAGGAAGAGAAAACAACAGUGAUUCCGCUAGUAGCGGCGAGCGAACGCGGAAGAGCCCAAACCUUCGUGCUUGCACGAGGGGGUUGUAGGGCCUGCUGGGCCGCAAGGCCGGCGAGUCAACAACCAGCAGCAUAGUCGAACAGCGCUGGAACGGCUGGUCAUAGAGGGUGAGAACCCCGUAGACGAAAUGCUGCUGGCUCGCUGGGCAGGUUCCUGAGUAGCGCGGGACACGUGGAAUCCCGUGUGAAGCUGCGAGGACCAUCUCGCAAGGCUAAAUACUCUCUGGCGACCGAUAGUGAACCAGUACCGUGAGGGAAAGGUGAAAAGCACCCCUGUGAGGGGAGUGAAAUAGUACCUGAAACCGUAUGCUUACAAGCGGUGGUAGCCCAAGUUCCCUAGUGGUGACAUUAGAGAAUGGGUGACCGCGUGCCUUUUGCAUAAUGAGCCGGCUAGUU